GAUGAAGAACGCAGUGAAAUGCGAUAAGUAAUGUGAAUUGCAGAAUUCAGUGAAUCAUCGAAUCUUUGAACGCACAUUGCGCCCGCCAGUAUUCUGGCGGGCAUGCCUGUUCGAGCGUCAUUUCAACCAUCAAGCCCCCGGCUUGUGUUGGGGACCUGCGGCUGCCGCAGGCCCUGAAAACCAGUGGCGGGCUCGCUAGUCACUCCGAGCGUAGUAAUACAUCUCGCUCAGGGCGUGCUGCGGGUUCCGGCCGUUAAAAAGCCUUAUUUACCCAAGGUUGACCUCGGAUCAGGUAGGAAGACCCGCUGAACUUAAGCAUAUCAUAAGCGGAGGA
Molecule: unclassified non-coding RNA, 334 nt
Filed under: soil metagenome
Description: partial contains 5.8S ribosomal RNA, internal transcribed spacer 2, and large subunit ribosomal RNA
Rfam family: 5.8S ribosomal RNA (bases 1-120)
Source: RNAcentral